Molecule: ribosomal RNA, 364 nt
Filed under: uncultured eukaryote
Lineage: Eukaryota
Description: partial 18S ribosomal RNA
Rfam family: Eukaryotic small subunit ribosomal RNA
Source: RNAcentral
CAAAAGCGUAUAUUAAAGUUGUUGCAGUUAAAAAGCUCGUAGUUGAACCUUGGGCUUGGCUGGCAGGUCCAUCUUUUUUGAUGCGUACUGGACCCAGCCGAGCCUUUCCUUCUGGCUAGCCUUUUGGCGAACCAGGACUUUUACUUUGAAAAAAUUAGAGUGUUCAAAGCAGGCCUUUGCUCGAAUAUAUUAGCAUGGAAUAAUAGAAUAGGACGUUAUGGUUCUAUUUUGUUGGUUUCUAGGACCAUCGUAAUGAUUAAUAGGGACGGUCGGGGGUAUCAGUAUUCAGUUGUCAGAGGUGAAAUUCUUGGAUUUACUGAAGACUAACUACUGCGAAAGCAUUUACCAAGGACGUUUUCAUUAA